Molecule: RNase P RNA, 364 nt
Filed under: Thalassospira xiamenensis
Lineage: Bacteria; Pseudomonadati; Pseudomonadota; Alphaproteobacteria; Rhodospirillales; Thalassospiraceae
Description: RNase P RNA component class A
Rfam family: Bacterial RNase P class A
About the family: Ribonuclease P (RNase P) is a ubiquitous endoribonuclease, found in archaea, bacteria and eukarya as well as chloroplasts and mitochondria. Its best characterised activity is the generation of mature 5'-ends of tRNAs by cleaving the 5'-leader elements of precursor-tRNAs.
Source: RNAcentral
GGAGUCAGCCAGACAAUCGCUGCUGCAUGGGUAACUGUGCAGGGGAGGAAAGUCCGGGCUCCAUAGGGCAGGGUGCCAGGUAACGCCUGGGCGGCGCAAGCCGACGACUAGUGCAACAGAGAGCAAACCGCCGAUGGCCUACGCUUGCGUAGGAACAGGUAAGGGUGAAAGGGUGCGGUAAGAGCGCACCGCGCGGCUGGUAACAGUUCGUGGCACGGUAAACUCCACCCGGAGCAAGGUCAAAUAGGGGUUCAUUGGCGCGGCCCGCGUUGAACCCGGGUAGACUGCUUGAACGCUGGGGCGACCCAGUGGCUAGACGAAUGAUUGUCCACGACAGAACCCGGCUUAUCGGCUGGCUCCCACC